This is a long non-coding RNA of Cydia pomonella (codling moth), 1164 nucleotides long. RefSeq lists it as uncharacterized. The record is from RefSeq and is a predicted model, not a curated record. Lineage: Eukaryota; Metazoa; Arthropoda; Insecta; Lepidoptera; Tortricidae. The transcript has 4 exons.
CUAUUAUGGUCGAUUUUAUAAAUGAUAUGGCUGUAUAAAUGAUAAUAUAACUAACAUUUUAUCCAGUUUUUAUUGAUUUGACGUCUUUUCCACUUUUGACAGCGAUAGAUGUUAAAUGAUUUACUGCAUAACAUGGUCGGUGGAUAAUUUGUCAUUUGUCUAAAUUUCUGACUUAAACUUAGUUGAUAAGUGGAUAAGUUAAAUGAUAUAAAUGACACUUGUCUAGAUUUAUAUCGUUUUAUAGCAUUUAUACCGUUUUGUCUACUUUUGACAGCGAUAGACGGUAAAUGGCAACGUUUGUUGAAUAAUUAAAUAUAUAGUCGAGUUUUGACGGCUAGACUUUGAUUAUUUUAUCCUAGUGCUCACUGGGUCACGAUAAGUGCUCUUGUGCUAUAUAAAUGGUGCAAAAUACAAAUUUUUGGAGUUAAAUAUCAGUAAGUAUCUGUGUUUUUCAUUAUAUAUACAGUCAAACUCAUUUAUUUACAUAUAACAUUAUCAAUACAUUUUUCAGGGAUGGCAAGAUAUCAUUUCUUCUUGGCAGCUGCUGCUAUCGAAGAAAAACAAGACAGAAAACUUCAACGCCGGGCCAUAAGGGAUGCAUGCAACCCGUUUGAUAAGCCCGACGAGGAGUUAUGGCGCAUACAUAGGGUGCGGAAAGAAUUAGCACUCUAUGUGUGCUGAACUUGACGCCGACCUCAAGCCUCAACAUGGCGAUGGAUUGCCGGCACAUCUUAAAGUUUUAACAUCACUGCACCUAUUGGCUGACGGUAGUUACUAACGGGGAACUGGACAAGACCAUGGCUUGUCCAUUGCUCAGUCUACCGUCAGCCGGUACUUGGAUCAAUUUGUAAUUGUGGUGAAUAGAAGACUCAAGGACACUUGGAUAGUCUUCCCAGAAAAUUAGAGGUGUUCAGGAGGCAUAUGGGGUUGCUAACAUUUUAGGCACAGUAGACUGCACCCAAGUAAAAAUAUUUCCAUAACCUUUACCGCAUGGCGUACAGUUUCUAAACAGAAAAGGAAUUCAUUCGCUAAACGUUCAGUUGAAAUCUUCCAAUAAAAGGCGAACCUGAAGCGGAAAUGGAAGGGGGCGCUGCUCGAGGGAUGCAUUACAUGCAGAGAAGCGUGCCCUAUUAAUAAAUAAAUAUUUCGCCUAGUAUUAUUUUA